RNAcentral lists this ribosomal RNA (554 nucleotides) under Metapseudomonas otitidis. RNAcentral's name for it is "bacterial SSU rRNA". It matches the Rfam family "Bacterial small subunit ribosomal RNA", at positions 79 to 628 of the family's 1533-position model. Lineage: Bacteria; Pseudomonadati; Pseudomonadota; Gammaproteobacteria; Pseudomonadales; Pseudomonadaceae. The record is from RNAcentral.
CUUGCUCCUGGAUUCAGCGGCGGACGGGUGAGUAAUGCCUAGGAAUCUGCCUGGUAGUGGGGGAUAACGUCCGGAAACGGGCGCUAAUACCGCAUACGUCCUGAGGGAGAAAGUGGGGGAUCUUCGGACCUCACGCUAUCAGAUGAGCCUAGGUCGGAUUAGCUAGUUGGUGGGGUAAAGGCCUACCAAGGCGACGAUCCGUAACUGGUCUGAGAGGAUGAUCAGUCACACUGGAACUGAGACACGGUCCAGACUCCUACGGGAGGCAGCAGUGGGGAAUAUUGGACAAUGGGCGAAAGCCUGAUCCAGCCAUGCCGCGUGUGUGAAGAAGGUCUUCGGAUUGUAAAGCACUUUAAGUUGGGAGGAAGGGCAGUAAGUUAAUACCUUGCUGUUUUGACGUUACCAACAGAAUAAGCACCGGCUAACUUCGUGCCAGCAGCCGCGGUAAUACGAAGGGUGCAAGCGUUAAUCGGAAUUACUGGGCGUAAAGCGCGCGUAGGUGGUUCAGCAAGUUGGAUGUGAAAUCCCCGGGCUCAACCUGGGGAACUGCAUCC